RNAcentral lists this ribosomal RNA (397 nucleotides) under uncultured bacterium. RNAcentral describes it as "bacterial SSU rRNA". It matches the Rfam family "Bacterial small subunit ribosomal RNA", at positions 29 to 412 of the family's 1533-position model. The record is from RNAcentral.
AACGAACGCUGGCGGCGCGCCUAACACAUGCAAGUCGAACGAGAAUCCGGGGCAACCCGGUAGUAAAGUGGCAAACGGGUGAGGAAUACAUGGGUAACCUACCCUUGAGAAGGGAAUAACCCGCCGAAAGGUGAGCUAAUACCCUAUACGCUAUCUUUUUUUCGAAAGGAAUAGGAAAGACCGGGUCGGAGGACCUGGUACUCAAGGAGGGGCGUCAUGUCCUAUCAGCUUGUUGGUGGGGUAACGGGCCUACCAAGGCUACGACGGGUAGCUGGUCUGAGAGGAUGAUCAGCCACACUGGCACUGAGAUACGGGCCAGACUCCUACGGGAGGCAGCAGUGAGGAAUAUUGCGCAAUGGGCGAAAGCCUGACGCAGCGACGCCGCGUGGGGGAUGAA